Long non-coding RNA from Dipodomys ordii (Ord's kangaroo rat), 863 nucleotides. RefSeq lists it as uncharacterized. The record is from RefSeq and is a predicted model, not a curated record. Lineage: Eukaryota; Metazoa; Chordata; Mammalia; Rodentia; Heteromyidae. The transcript has 3 exons.
AUACAGUUCAUUCUCCCUUGACAUCUUUUUCCUGAUAAACCAAGAGGACAUUAAUUCAGUUGCCAUUAACUUUUGAAGUGUCUUUGCAGGCUUGGAUUUACUUUGGGCAACGUGGUUGGAAUGUAUCUGGCUCAGAACUAUGAUAUACCAAACCUGGCUAAAAAAAUUGAAGAGAUCAAAAAGGACUUGGAAGCCAAGAAGAAACCCCCCAGUUCCUGAGGCACUCUCCACUCCAGCACUCAUUCUGGAUUCACGGAUUCUGCCCAGUCACGCUGGAGAGCUCCUUUACCUCCUGACCCAAAGCUUCUGUUCUUAUCUCGUCUCAGCCAUUUCUUGCUAUACCCUGGGUGUUGCCUUAGAGCAGAAAGGGGGCCUCGAGUUCAGAAAUCCUCUGCUUCCAACAGCCUUGUCUCUCCCCUGUCUUCCUUCUGUCUCCUUGGGAGGCUCUAAGACUGGAAUUAUGGUGCUAGAUUAGCAAACAAGACCUUUAAUUCGUAGUUUCUCCCCUGUUGUUUGGAGUUUCUACUAUCUUUUGUCAAAAGAAAAAUUGAUGAGUUUUGUAUAAGUGAUCAGAAAAAAGUAAUGCUGAUUUUAUAGUUUAGCAAUUAUGAUGGGUGCUUGUUAAACACUUGUUACUAAAUUUUGUUGCCUCAAAGUAAUUAAAAUUAAUGUAUAGAAGCCAGUUUAUGGUUAAGUAUCCAUUUAUUUUAUACUUUUGUCAGUCAGUUCCACAGUUGAUCAUUUAACCCAUAAAUCAAUUAGUCAUUUGCUGAGAAAUUAUAUUUUGAGAGUCCAGUCAAAAUUGGGAAUUUUCAAAAAAUGCAAAACAGUUCCUUUUGUCUCAGUAGAAUUCACAGUUUAUU